Non-coding RNA from Rattus norvegicus (Norway rat), 557 nucleotides. The record is from RefSeq and is a predicted model, not a curated record. Lineage: Eukaryota; Metazoa; Chordata; Mammalia; Rodentia; Muridae.
UUCCAGAAACCUGCUCAGCCAGCUCCUGAUGGAGAACAUAUGUAUGAAGAAGUUGUUCCCACUGAAGCAGGAGAGCAAGGAGGUACAUCUUGAUUGUGCACUGAACCAGAAAAAUUUGGUUGACUUCAACAAGAAAGAUAAAGACCAGCAACGUCCAGACCCAGCAUCAUCUGGUCUCAGAAAGUGCAAGAGAGCUGGAAUUGGACACACAGCAGUAAGAGAGCUUCCUGAAGAAUAAGUUGCUUUCUCAGGAGUCCCUGAUGACAAACAUCCUGAAUGAAAAAAGCACCUGAGAGACAACUUGGGGGACCGCCUUUCAUUAUGUGUGCAAGAGGAGAAACAGCAAUCCAUCUGUGCUUCCAAAUGUUCAUUAAGAUUGUGGUGUUUAGAAAUAUUUUUGUUAUGAUUUUAAUUGAAAUUUUCUUUUUGUUGUUUCAUAUUUAUAUGUUCUUGUUACUGUUUUUAUCUUUUCAAAUAUUUUUAAAUAUUUUAAUUUAUUUGUUUUAAUCCUGUUUUGUUGUAAAAAUGAAUUCCUUAUGAAUAAAAAUUGAAUUCUA